UAUGUGAUCGUCUCUCGCAUAUCAAUAAGCGGAGGAAAAGAAACUAACAAGGAUUCCCCUAGUAACGGCGAGUGAAGCGGGAAGAGCUCAAAUUUGAAAUCUUAAAGGGUUUCCCUUUACGAAUUGUAGUUUAAAGAAGUGUUUUCUGUUGAGGUUUUGGUAAAAGUUCUUUGGAAUAGGACAUCAUAGAGGGUGAGAAUCCCGUAUUUGACCUUUACUUUCAACUUUGUGAUACACUUUCAAAGAGUCGGAUCGUUUGGGAAUGCAGUCCAAAAUGGGUGGUAAAUUUCAUCUAAAGCUAAAUAUUGGCGAGAGACCGAUAGCGAACAAGUACCGUGAGGGAAAGAUGAAAAGAACUUUGAAAAGAGAGUUAAACAGUACGUGAAAUUGUCAAAAGGGAAGCGUUUGACACCAGUGUUGUUUUUCUGAAAAUCAAUUAAUGAACUGUUUAUGCUAAGUUGUUUAGACUUUAUCAGCUAACUGUUUAGUUUUGAGCUUUUCUUUAAUGCACUUUUCAGUUAACAAGUCAACAUCAAUUUCUUUUGCUGUAAAAAAGCUUGAGGAAGGUGGCUUGAGAUUCGUCUUAAGUGUUUAUAGCCUCUUGCCUAUGCAGUCGGAGAGAUUGAGGUCUGCAGCGUAGAUCCUUCGGGGCUAAAUGCAUUUGUGCUAAGUUAUAGCAUUUUAUAGACAACUGGUUGACUAUGAUUUGUCUUGCAGCUUACUCGCUUAUGUUAUUUUACCUACGCUUAGGAUGUUGAUAUCGCGCUCUCACUG
Molecule: ribosomal RNA, 774 nt
Filed under: uncultured Neocallimastigales
Lineage: Eukaryota; Fungi; Neocallimastigomycota; Neocallimastigomycetes; Neocallimastigales
Description: partial large subunit ribosomal RNA
Rfam family: Eukaryotic large subunit ribosomal RNA
Source: RNAcentral